RNAcentral lists this long non-coding RNA (236 nucleotides) under Solanum tuberosum (potato). Its description in RNAcentral is "long non-coding RNA (STUB_LNC005083)". Lineage: Eukaryota; Viridiplantae; Streptophyta; Magnoliopsida; Solanales; Solanaceae. The record is from RNAcentral.
AAAAAUCUAGUGAUGUUUUCUUUUAAAAAUUCGGGAGAAAAUCUGUCGUUGCUAUUCUUUAGAUGGCGCACUAGAUAAAUCCGUUCAUUUUGAAGAGCUCGCAAAUUAUACAGGAAGAACUAAGCUGCAGGUAAGUCAUGUACGACGAGUUUGACAGAGAAGAUGUUGGCAGAAAAAAUCGAUCUUAGUUUAUUGAUAUUGUGUACAAUUUUUUAAGAUGAAAAAUGAAGUUUGGC